Molecule: long non-coding RNA, 409 nt
Organism: Glycine soja
Lineage: Eukaryota; Viridiplantae; Streptophyta; Magnoliopsida; Fabales; Fabaceae
Exons: 3
Source: RefSeq, a predicted model, not a curated record
ACAUAGGCUUGUAUCUUUAUGAUUGUCAAUCAAGAAAGCAUUAUUUGAUGCCAUAACAAUCUUAUUUGUACUUGUUUCCAUAUUCUGAUAAUGUUAUUGUGCUCCUUCUGGGAUGUUGCAGUGAACCUUUACUAAUUUCCUGAUUCAAACAAUAUUUUCAGCUUCCAUUGUCAUUGAAGAAUUUGGUCAUCUAGAGGAGUACGGACCUUUAUUUGUCACUUCUGACGACAUUCCAGACAUUGAUAAGAAAAAAAUGGUAUGUUGAUUGGAGCAACUACAUCAAUCGGAUUAAUCAUAAAAAUAGUACUGUUUUCAAAUUGUAAAGAGUAGAUAGGGUGAAUGAAACAGAGAGUGAAAGUUACAACAACAUAUAGAAGCAAAGGUGCAGACCAUUUUUUGCUUUCGUGUC